This 1544-nucleotide long non-coding RNA is filed under the name Macaca fascicularis (crab-eating macaque). Its description in RNAcentral is "lncRNA (ENSMFAG00000060213.1)". The record is from RNAcentral. Lineage: Eukaryota; Metazoa; Chordata; Mammalia; Primates; Cercopithecidae.
AAGGAUCAAAAGCUACAUAGAGAAGUUCUCACAAGAUAGCCAUUACUCUCAGCCGGGCGCAGUGACUCAUGCAUGUAAUCCCAGCACUUUGGGAGGCCGAGGCGGGCAGAUCAUUUGAGGUCAGGAGUUCAAGACCAGCCUGGCCAACAUGGUGAAACCCCUGUCUCUACUAAAAAUUCAAAAAUUAGCCAGGCGUGGUGGCAGGCACCUGUAAUCCUAGCUACUUGGGAGGCUGAGACAGGAGAAUUGCUUAAACCCAGUAGGUGGAGGUUGCAGCAAGCUAAGAUUGUGCCAUUACACUCCACCCUGGGCAAUAGAAUGAGACUUAGUCUCAAAAAAAAAAAAAAAAAAGCCUCAGAAACCGUAAUCGGUGACUCAAAACUGAUUGGAUUUGGGACUUUGGACUCAACAGCUUAUACAGACAGCUUAAUAAAAAGCAUAAUGAGGCCGGGCAGAGUGGCUCAUGCCUAUAAUACCAGCACUUUGGGAGGUCGAGGCGGGAGGACUGCCUGAGCCCUGGGAUUCAAGACCAGCCUGGGCCCAUCUCUACAAAAAUUUUUUAAAAAAUUAUUAGCCAAGAGUGGUGGUGUGUACCUGUAGUCCUAGCAGCCCGGGAGGCUGGGAUGGGAGGAUCACUUGAGCCAGGGUGGUGCCACUGCACUCCAGCUUUGGCAACGGGAGUGAGACCCUAUCUCAAAAAAAAAAAAAAAAAAUGCAUAAUAGAAGUUUAUUAAUUUACACUUGGGUCACUAUGAAGCAGACCAAACAGUUAUGUCAGCCUAGCCACUUGGCAUUUUUUGCCUGACGUUUAACUGUGUAGCAAUUCGUUAACCAAAAGGUUGCUUAGUGAGCACUGAAUCAGGUGAGGAGGCUCCGUGACUUAAAGGCAGAAUGACUUUAGGCUCUAAUCAACCUGAGGGUGAUCUCCUAAGGGCAACUGGACACAGGACUUGCAGUGCAGUCAUUUCAUUAGACCAAAGUGAGGUCUAUGGAAAGGCCUGCUAACUCAAAACUAUCUGCCUAAUAACUGUUAUAUUUGCAUUGGUACAAAAACAGUGGUGGGUAAAACUGCUGGUGCCACAGCAUAAAGCAAGGCAGUGGUACUCAGAAAAAUGAGUGGCACUCUUGCUUCCCUGCUGUGCAUAUAGUGAAGAAUGUCCUUGAUUAGUCAUGUAUUUUUUUAUUCACAACACCCAACCUGUAUUUUAACGUGACUGAAUGAAAGUAUGCAUAAUACAUAUCCAUAUGAUUGUCUUGAGGAAAAGCAUUUGUGCAGCUGUGUAAGGUGUGGGCUGUACAGGACGCAUUUUCAUGGAACACCAUUUACUUAAACAACAAACACACUGGUUAUUCAUUCUUGGAUGGUUGGUAUAUAGUCUCUCAAAAACGAAUGAUAGGCCGGGCGUGGUGGCCCACCCCUGUAAUCCCAGCACUUUGGGAGGCCAAGGCAGGCGGAACACGAGGUCAGGAGAUCAAGACCAUCCUGGCUAACAUGGUGAGACCCCAUCUUUACUAAAAAUACAAAAAAAAGAAAAAAGAAAAAA